Long non-coding RNA from Xenia sp. Carnegie-2017, 128 nucleotides. RefSeq lists it as uncharacterized. The record is from RefSeq and is a predicted model, not a curated record. The transcript is spliced from 3 exons. NCBI's taxonomy places the organism in Eukaryota, Metazoa, Cnidaria, Anthozoa, Malacalcyonacea, Xeniidae.
GCUAAAACACUGAUCGGGAAUGCUUAUAAGAGAGCAACCAUUGAAAUUGUUAAGAGUGUACGCAAAAUGACAUUUGAAGAAUUUCUAAAUAACGGAGGAAAUGUUGAUUUAGCCAUUAGUGCUCAGGU